RNAcentral lists this ribosomal RNA (468 nucleotides) under uncultured bacterium. Its description in RNAcentral is "partial 16S ribosomal RNA". It matches the Rfam family "Bacterial small subunit ribosomal RNA", at positions 28 to 507 of the family's 1533-position model. The record is from RNAcentral.
GACGAACGCUGGCGGCGUGCUUAACACAUGCCAGUCGAACGGAAAGGCCCUGCUUUUGUGGGGUUCUCGAGUGGCGAACGGGUGAGUAACACGUGAGUAACCUGCCCUUGACUUUGGGAUAACUUCAGGAAACUGGGGCUAAUACCGGAUAGGAGCUCCUGCUGCAUGGUGGGGGUUGGAAAGUUUCGGCGGUUGGGGAUGGACUCGCGGCUUAUCAGCUUGUUGGUGGGGUAGUGGCUUACCAAGGCUUUGACGGGUAGCCGGCCUGAGUGGGUGACCGGCCACAUUGGGACUGAGAUACGGCCCAGACUCCUACGGGAGGCAGCAGUGGGGAAUAUUGCACAAUGGGCGGAAGCCUGAUGCAGCAACGCCGCGUGCGGGAUGACGGCCUUCGGGUUGUAAACCGCUUUCGCCUGUGACGAAGCGUGAGUGACGGUAAUGGGUAAAGAAGCACCGGCUAACUACGUG